AUUGAACGCUGGCGGCAGGCCUAACACAUGCCAGUCGAGCGGAUGAAGGGAGCUUGCUCCUGGAUUCAGCGGCGGACGGGUGGGUAAUGCCUAGGAAUCUGCCUGGUAGUGGGGGAUAACGUCCGGAAACGGGCGCUAAUACCGCAUACGUUCUGAGGGAGAAAGUGGGGGAUCUUCGGACCUAACGGUAUCAGAUGAGCCUAGGUCGGAUUAGCUAGUUGGUGGGGUAAAGGCCUACCAAGGCGACGAUCCGUAACUGGUCUGAGAGGAUGAUCAGUCACACUGGAACUGAGACACGGUCCAGACUCCUACGGGAGGCAGCAGUGGGGAAUAUUGGACAAUGGGCGAAAGCCUGACCCAGCCAUGCCGCGUGUGUGAAGAAGGUCUUCGGAUUGUAAAGCACUUUAAGUUGGGAGGAAGGGCAGUAAGUUAAUACCUGGCUGUUUUGACGGUACCAACAGAAUAAGCACCGGCUAACUUCGUG
This 484-nucleotide ribosomal RNA is filed under the name uncultured bacterium. RNAcentral describes it as "partial 16S ribosomal RNA". It matches the Rfam family "Bacterial small subunit ribosomal RNA", at positions 30 to 507 of the family's 1533-position model. The record is from RNAcentral.